RNAcentral lists this ribosomal RNA (253 nucleotides) under uncultured bacterium. RNAcentral's name for it is "partial 16S ribosomal RNA". It matches the Rfam family "Bacterial small subunit ribosomal RNA", at positions 524 to 776 of the family's 1533-position model. The record is from RNAcentral.
UACGUAGGGGGCAAGCGUUGUCCGGAUUUAUUGGGCGUAAGGAGCGUGUAGGCGGCUAGAUAGGUCCGUUGUGAAAACUCGAGGCUCAACCUCGAGACGUCGAUGGAAACCAUCUGGCUAGAGUCCGGAAGAGGAGAGUGGAAUUCCUGGUGUAGCGGUGAAAUGCGCAGAUAUCAGGAAGAACACCCGUGGCGAAGGCGGCUCUCUGGUGCGUGACUGACGCUGAGACGCGAAAGCGUGGGGAGCAAACAGG